AGUGAACGCUGGCGGUAGGCCUAACACAUGCAAGUCGAACGGCAGCACAGUAAGAGCUUGCUCUUACGGGUGGCGAGUGGCGGACGGGUGAGGAAUACAUCGGAAUCUACUUUUUCGUGGGGGAUAACGUAGGGAAACUUACGCUAAUACCGCAUACGACCUACGGGUGAAAGCAGGGGAUCUUCGGACCUUGCGCGAUUGAAUGAGCCGAUGUCGGAUUAGCUAGUUGGCGGGGUAAAGGCCCACCAAGGCGACGAUCCGUAGCUGGUCUGAGAGGAUGAUCAGCCACAGUGGAACUGAGACACGGUCCAGACUCCUCGGGAGGCAGCAGUGGGGAAUAUUGGACAAAGGGCGCAAGCCUGAUCCAGCCAUACCGCGUGGGUGAAGAAGGCCUUCGGGUUGUAAAGCCCUUUUGUUGGGAAAGAAAAGCAGCAGGUUAAUACCCCGCUGUUCUGACGGUACCCAAAGAAUAAGCACCGGCUAACUUCGUG
RNAcentral lists this ribosomal RNA (491 nucleotides) under uncultured bacterium. RNAcentral's name for it is "partial 16S ribosomal RNA". It matches the Rfam family "Bacterial small subunit ribosomal RNA", at positions 29 to 507 of the family's 1533-position model. The record is from RNAcentral.